GACAGAGGGUGCGAACGUUGUUCGGAAUUACUGGGCGUAAAGCGCGUGUAGGCUGUUCGGAAAGUCGGGUGUGAAAGCCCUGGGCUCAACCUAGGAAGUGCACUCGAAACUCCCGAACUGGAGUCCCGGAGAGGAAGGUGGAAUUCUCGGUGUAGAGGUGAAAUUCGUAGAUAUCGAGAGGAACAUCGGUGGCGAAGGCGGCCCUCUGGACGGUGACUGACGCUGAGAUGCGAAAGCGUGGGGAGCAAACAGG
Molecule: ribosomal RNA, 253 nt
Filed under: uncultured bacterium
Lineage: Bacteria
Description: partial 16S ribosomal RNA
Rfam family: Bacterial small subunit ribosomal RNA
Source: RNAcentral